AGUAUCCUUCGCAGUCUUCAGUAUCCCAGCAUGCACCGCGCGGCGGCAGUCAGAUGUUCAAAAACACGGAGCGAAAACACGGAGCAAAAAGCCUGUGAGUAGAAAAACAUGGGAAAAGAAGCCCACGGAGUGAUUUAAAGAAGCUGCGAGGAGAAAACUCCACGUUUUCACGGACAGUGUAAACAUGUAAACAGUUGGUCAGUGUAGCUCGGAGCCUCCUGUACGAGGACACAGCACACUGCAGGGGCCACAGAACUGUUGGCUGACAAGAUGCUUGUGAUUCAUAAAAUGGGUCAAAUGCACAUGACAAAGUAAAGUCCACACUGAGCUGGAGGUGCUGACCCAGACUCCUGCCAACGAUUAGGUUUUCACUCUGCAGGACACAACUUUGAAUCAAUCAGACCUAACACCCAUCCUGCUCUUCCUCCUCCAGAAGACGAGAGACACAUCACACUGAGUGGUCCAAGUCCACUGUCCAUGUCUCCAUUGUCCAUGUCCAGAGUCUCUGAGGAGGAGGUCCAGAGUCUUAUAUGAUCUGAACAAGUGUGUGAGACAGAAAUGAAAACAUCUGCUCAUAAGUUUUUCUGAAUGUUUUUCAGUCUGUACUGACAUUUGAUUUAUGGUGAAAUGUGCCGUUUAUUUGGUGUCUCUUUUGAUAGUAACUAAUUACAUGUACUAUAAGAAUGUACUAUUGUACUGCAGUUAAAGCAGUGAUGUUCUACAUGAUCAUAUUUGGCAAAGAUAAUUUGUUCAUUUUUGAUUGUCACUUGCUUCAGUAAAAAGGGAACACAAUGAGAUUUACUGACAUACAGCUGUUUGUACUAACCUGUUAAUGCAGAGUGUGUGUGUGUGUGUGUGUGUGUAAUGGGUUUAAUAUUUGACUUAAUAUUAUGAUAAAGUAUUUCCAGAAGUUCCUUGGAUUGUUUAAUAAACCAGCUUUUCUCAGGAGA
Long non-coding RNA from Boleophthalmus pectinirostris (great blue-spotted mudskipper), 950 nucleotides. RefSeq lists it as uncharacterized. The transcript is spliced from 4 exons. The record is from RefSeq and is a predicted model, not a curated record. Lineage: Eukaryota; Metazoa; Chordata; Actinopteri; Gobiiformes; Gobiidae.